This 286-nucleotide ribosomal RNA is filed under the name Bleptus fasciatus. RNAcentral describes it as "partial 16S ribosomal RNA". It matches the Rfam family "Archaeal large subunit ribosomal RNA", at positions 1990 to 2389 of the family's 2987-position model. Lineage: Eukaryota; Metazoa; Arthropoda; Insecta; Ephemeroptera; Heptageniidae. The record is from RNAcentral.
UGAAAAUUAAAGGGCCGCGGUAUUUUGACCGUGCAAAGGUAGCAUAAUCAUUAGUCUUCUAAUUAAAGGCUGGAAUGAAUGGUUGGACGAGGUAUUAGCUGUCUCACUAGAAUGGGUUAAAACUUAACUUUUUAGUUAAAAGGCUAAAAUAAUAUUGGAGGACGAGAAGACCCUAUAGAUCUUGAUACCCUUAUUGUCAAACCUUUUUAGGAGAGAUUAGGUUUGACAAGGUGGGUAUUUUGUUGGGGUGACAGGGAAAUAAAAUAAACUAUUCUUAAGGCAAUAC